This 253-nucleotide ribosomal RNA is filed under the name uncultured bacterium. Its description in RNAcentral is "partial 16S ribosomal RNA". It matches the Rfam family "Bacterial small subunit ribosomal RNA", at positions 524 to 776 of the family's 1533-position model. The record is from RNAcentral.
UACGUAGGGUGCAAGCGUUAAUCGGAAUUACUGGGCGUAAAGCGUGUGCAGGCGGUGAUGUAAGACAGAUGUGAAAUCCCCGGGCUCAACCUGGGAACUGCAUUUGUGACUGCAUCGCUGGAGUGCGGCAGAGGGGGAUGGAAUUCCGCGUGUAGCAGUGAAAUGCGUAGAGAUGUGGAGGAACACCGAUGGCGAAGGCAGCCUCCUGGGCCAACACUGACGCUCAUGCACGAAAGCGUGGGGAGCAAACAGG